UUAGAGUUUGAUCCUGGCUCAGGAUGAACGCUAGCGACAGGCUUAACACAUGCAAGUCGAGGGGCAGCGGGGUAGUAAGCUUGCUUACUACUGCCGGCGACCGGCGCACGGGUGAGUAACACGUAUGCAACCUGGCCGUCACAGAGGGAUAACCGGGAGAAAUCCCGCCUAAUACCGCAUAAUACCGGGGAAGGACAUCCUUUUCCGGUUAAAGGAGCGAUCCGGUGACGGAUGGGCAUGCGCCGCAUUAGUUAGUUGGCGGUGUAACGGACCACCAAGACGACGAUGCGUAGGGGUUCUGAGAGGAAGGUCCCCCACACUGGUACUGAGACACGGACCAGACUCCUACGGGAGGCAGCAGUGAGGAAUAUUGGUCAAUGGGCGAGAGCCUGAACCAGCCAAGUCGCGUGAGGGAAGACGGUCCUAUGGAUUGUAAACCUCUUUUGCCGGGGAGCAAAAAGCGGUACGCGUACCGCAUCGAGAGUACCCGGAGAAAAAGCAUCGGCUAACUCCGUGCCAGCAGCCGCGGUAAUACGUAGGGGGCAAGCGUUAUCCGGAUUUACUGGGUGUAAAGGGAGCGUAGACGGUACGCCAAGUCUGAAGUGAAAUGCCGCAGCUUAACUGCGGAACUGCUUUGGAAACUGGCGGGCUGGAGUGCGGGAGGGGUAAGCGGAAUUCCUAGUGUAGCGGUGAAAUGCGUAGAUAUUAGGAGGAACACCAGUGGCGAAGGCGGCUGUCUGGUCUGCAACUGACGCUGAGGCUCGAAAGCAUGGGUAGCGAACAGGAUUAGAUACCCUGGUAGUCCAUGCCGUAAACGAUGAGUGCUAGGUGUCGGGGAGGAAUCCUCGGUGCCGGAGCAAACGCAAUAAGCACUCCACCUGGGGAGUACGACCGCAAGGUUGAAACUCAAAGGAAUUGACGGGGGCCCGCACAAGCGGAGGAACAUGUGGUUUAAUUCGAUGAUACGCGAGGAACCUUACCCGGGCUCAAACGGGGAGUGACUCAGGCAGAGACGCCUGUUUCCCACGGGACACUCCCCGAGGUGCUGCAUGGUUGUCGUCAGCUCGUGUCGUGAGAUGUUGGGUUAAGUCCCGCAACGAGCGCAACCCUUAUCUUCAGUAGCCAGCAUAUAAGGUGGGCACUCUGGAGAGACUGCCGUGGAUAACACGGAGGAAGGUGGGGAUGACGUCAAAUCAUCAUGCCCCUUAUGUCUUGGGCAACACACGUGCUACAAUGGCUGGAAACAAAGUGAAGCGAGACGGUGACGUUAAGCAAAGCACAAAAACCCAGUCCCAGUUCGGAUUGUAGUCUGCAACUCGACUACAUGAAGCUGGAAUCGCUAGUAAUCGCGAAUCAGAAUGUCGCGGUGAAUACGUUCCCGGGCCUUGCACUCACCGCCCGUCAAG
This 1406-nucleotide ribosomal RNA is filed under the name uncultured bacterium. Its description in RNAcentral is "bacterial SSU rRNA". It matches the Rfam family "Bacterial small subunit ribosomal RNA". The record is from RNAcentral.